Molecule: non-coding RNA, 159 nt
Organism: Arabidopsis suecica
Lineage: Eukaryota; Viridiplantae; Streptophyta; Magnoliopsida; Brassicales; Brassicaceae
Source: the annotation of a GenBank genome assembly
UUAACCCAUUUAACAAUUCAACCCAUCAAAUGAAAUGAGUUAUGGGUUAGACCCAACUCAUUUAACAAAAUGAGUUGGGUCUAACCCAUAACUCAUUUAACAAAAUGAGUUGGGUCUAACCCAUAACUCAUUUAAUUAUAAACUCAUUUGAUUAUGAGU